RNAcentral lists this ribosomal RNA (234 nucleotides) under uncultured bacterium. Its description in RNAcentral is "partial 16S ribosomal RNA". It matches the Rfam family "Bacterial small subunit ribosomal RNA", at positions 28 to 258 of the family's 1533-position model. The record is from RNAcentral.
GACGAACGCUGGCGGCGUGCUUAACACAUGCAAGUCGAGCGGUAAGGCCCUUUCGGGGUACGACGAGCGGCGAACGGGUGAGUAGCACGUGGGUGACCUCGCCCUCAGCUCUGGGAUAAGACCCGGGAAACGUGGGUCUAAUACCGGAUAUGACUCCAUGACGCAUGUUGGUGGGGUAGGAAAGCCUUGUGCGGCUGAGGAUGGGCCCGCGGCCUAUCAGCUUGUUGGUGGGGU